Long non-coding RNA from Rhododendron vialii, 175 nucleotides. RefSeq lists it as uncharacterized. The transcript is spliced from 2 exons. NCBI's taxonomy places the organism in Eukaryota, Viridiplantae, Streptophyta, Magnoliopsida, Ericales, Ericaceae. The record is from RefSeq and is a predicted model, not a curated record.
AAAGAGGGUGAGCAGUUGGGUUUUGAAAUUGAACGGUUGGAUUUGAUUUGCAGAGAAGAAGGAGAUGAAGAUGAUGGGAUGAUAUCCAGUUGAGGAUUGUGUACAGCCAGAGAAAAUAAUAGAGAGAGAGGGAGGGAGGGAGGGGUUGGAGGUAUGUGAAAAACCCAAAUCCAAU